CUACAGGCUUAACACAUGCAAGUCGAGGGGCAUCAGGAAGAAAGCUUGCUUUCUUUGCUGGCGACCGGCGCACGGGUGAGUAACACGUAUCCAACCUGCCCUUUACUCGGGGAUAGCCUUUCGAAAGAAAGAUUAAUACCCGAUAGCAUAAUGAUUCCGCAUGGUUUCAUUAUUAAAGGAUUCCGGUAAAGGAUGGGGAUGCGUUCCAUUAGGUUGUUGGUGAGGUAACGGCCCACCAAGCCUUCGAUGGAUAGGGGUUCUGAGAGGAAGGUCCCCCACAUUGGAACUGAGACACGGUCCAAACUCCUACGGGAGGCAGCAGUGAGGAAUAUUGGUCAAUGGGCGCUAGCCUGAACCAGCCAAGUAGCGUGAAGGAUGAAGGCUCUAUGGGUCGUAAACUUCUUUUAUAUAAGAAUAAAGUGCAGUAUGUAUACUGUUUUGUAUGUAUUAUAUGAAUAAGGAUCGGCUAACUCCGUGCCAGCAGCCGCGGUAAUACGGAGGAUCCGAGCGUUAUCCGGAUUUAUUGGGUUUAAAGGGAGCGUAGGUGGACUGGUAAGUCAGUUGUGAAAGUUUGCGGCUCAACCGUAAAAUUGCAGUUGAUACUGUCAGUCUUGAGUACAGUAGAGGUGGGCGGAAUUCGUGGUGUAGCGGUGAAAUGCUUAGAUAUCACGAAGAACUCCGAUUGCGAAGGCAGCUCACUGGACUGCAACUGACACUGAUGCUCGAAAGUGUGGGUAUCAAACAGGAUUAGAUACCCUGGUAGUCCACACAGUAAACGAUGAAUACUCGCUGUUUGCGAUAUACAGUAAGCGGCCAAGCGAAAGCAUUAAGUAUUCCACCUGGGGAGUGCGCCGGCAACGGUGAAACUCAAAGGAAUUGACGGGGGCCCGCACAAGCGGAGGAACAUGUGGUUUAAUUCGAUGAUACGCGAGGAACCUUACCCGGGCUUAAAUUGCAGUGGAAUGAUGUGGAAACAUGUCAGUGAGCAAUCACCGCUGUGAAGGUGCUGCAUGGUUGUCGUCAGCUCGUGCCGUGAGGUGUCGGCUUAAGUGCCAUAACGAGCGCAACCCUUAUCUUUAGUUACUAACAGGUUAUGCUGAGGACUCUAGAGAGACUGCCGUCGUAAGAUGUGAGGAAGGUGGGGAUGACGUCAAAUCAGCACGGCCCUUACGUCCGGGGCUACACACGUGUUACAAUGGGGGGUACAGAAGGCAGCUAGCGGGUGACCGUAUGCUAAUCCCAAAAUCCUCUCUCAGUUCGGAUCGAAGUCUGCAACCCGACUUCGUGAAGCUGGAUUCGCUAGUAAUCGCGCAUCAGCCACGGCGCGGUGAAUACGUUCCCGGGCCUUGUACACACCGCCCGUCAAGCCAUGGGAGCCGGGGGUACCUGAAGUACGUAACCGCAAGGAUCGUCCUAGGGUAAAACUGGUGACUGGGGCUAA
RNAcentral lists this ribosomal RNA (1441 nucleotides) under uncultured organism. RNAcentral describes it as "SSU rRNA". It matches the Rfam family "Bacterial small subunit ribosomal RNA". The record is from RNAcentral.